RNAcentral lists this ribosomal RNA (253 nucleotides) under uncultured bacterium. Its description in RNAcentral is "partial 16S ribosomal RNA". It matches the Rfam family "Bacterial small subunit ribosomal RNA", at positions 524 to 776 of the family's 1533-position model. The record is from RNAcentral.
UACGAAGGGAGCUAGCGUUGUUCGGAAUUACUGGGCGUAAAGGGCGCGUAGGCGGACAUCUAAGUCAGGGGUGAAAUCCCAGGGCUCAACCCUGGAAUUGCCUUUGAUACUGGACGUCUCGAGUUCGGGAGAGGUGAGUGGAAUUCCGAGUGUAGAGGUGAAAUUCGUAGAUAUUCGGAGGAACACCAGAAGCGAAGGCGGCUCACUGGCUCGAUACUGACGCUGAGGUGCGAAAGCGUGGGGAGCAAACAGG